Molecule: long non-coding RNA, 1263 nt
Filed under: Sus scrofa (pig)
Lineage: Eukaryota; Metazoa; Chordata; Mammalia; Artiodactyla; Suidae
Description: lncRNA (ENSSSCG00015005600.1)
Source: RNAcentral
UUUUUUUCUUUUUCUUUUUGUCUUUUUAGGGCCACACCCAUGACAUAUGGAGGUUCCCAGGCUAGGGGUCCAAUUGAUGCUGUAGCCGAGGGCCUACGCCAGAGGCACCACAACACAGGAUCCAAGUCGCAUCUGUGACCUACGUCACAGUUCACGGCAACGCUGGAUUCUUAACCCACUUGAGUGAGGCCAGGGAUAGAACCUGUACCCUCAUGGAUGCUAGUGGGGUUUGAUAACCACUGAGCCACGAUGGGAACUCUGGCAGCACUGUUUACAGUAGUCAAGAUAUGGAAGCAAUCUAAGUGUCACUGAUAGAUAAAUGUAUAAAGAAGAUAUGGUACAUAUAUACAAUAGAAUACUACUCAGCCAUAAAAAAGAAUGAAAAUUUUGCCAUUUGCAGCAACAUGGAUGGUCUUGGACUUGGGCAUAUUACACUAAACGAAAUAAGUCAAACAGAGAAAAAAACACUAUGUUACUUAUAUGUGGAAUCUAAACUAUAAAACAAACUAGGAAAUACAACAAAAAAGAAACAGACUCAGAGAUAUAGAGAACAAAGUGGUGGAUAUCAGUGGAGAGAGGGAAGGAGGGGGGCAAGAUAAAGAUUGAGAAUUAAAAGGUAAAAACUACUAUGUACAAAAUAAGCAUGCUCUAAGGAUAUACUGUAUAGCACAGGGAACAUAGCCAAUAUUUUACAAUCACUGUAAGUGGAGUAUAACCUUUAAAAAUUGUGAAUCACUAUGUUGUACACCUGAAACAUAUACAACCGCAUAUCAACUAUACCUCGAUUAAAAAAAAAAAAACAGAAUCAGACUCACAGAUGUAGAAAGCCAACCUGUGGUUACUAAAGGGAAAGGGGGGAGGGACAAAUUAGGAGUAUGGGAUUAAUGGAUACAAACUCCUAAGCAACAAGUAUAUAUUAUAUAGCACAGGGAAUUAUAGCCAUUAGCUUCUAAUAACUUUUAAUGGAAUAUAAUCUGCAAAAAUACUGAAUCACUGUGUUAUACACCUAAAACUAACAGACUAUUAUAAAUCAGCUAUACCUCAAUUAAAAAAACAAAAACAAACUCUUAUGCUGUGCCUUCUCCCCCCAGCUGGUGUACAAGCUCCAAGAAGGCAGGAAACUUUCUUUGGUUCACCACCGUCUGUCAGCACUUACAACAGCAUCUAGUACAUAAAAGGCACUCAAAUCUUUGUUAAAUGAAUCAGUUAACAUCUUUGGAAUAUGUUCCUCUUCUUUUGCUCUUUGCCCGUAUAUUUUUCUAU